UCUGCUGAAGUCCGCCUGUAAUAGAAGUUCUUAAGGAAUUCGCUUACAGUAGAGGUUUGGGGCAGACCGCUUGUAGUAGAAGCUCGGAUGGAGAUCGAUUGUCGUAGAGUUCGGAGUGGACCGCUUACUGUAGAUGCCCGAAGCAUACUGCUUGCAGUAGAAGCUCAGAUGAAAUCUGGAGGGCAGUCGACCAUCGUAGAAACUUGGAUGGAGUCUGGUUACUGUAGAAAGUCGGCUGAUAAUAAAGCCCAGAGAGCAUUUGAAGCAGUCCAGU
RNAcentral lists this long non-coding RNA (274 nucleotides) under Elaeis guineensis (African oil palm). RNAcentral describes it as "long non-coding RNA (EGUI_LNC051081)". The record is from RNAcentral. Lineage: Eukaryota; Viridiplantae; Streptophyta; Magnoliopsida; Arecales; Arecaceae.